AGUUUGAUCCUGGCUCAGAUUGAACGCUAGCGGGAUGCUUUACACAUGCAAGUCGAACGGCAGCACGAGAGAGCUUGCUCUCUUGGUGGCGAGUGGCGGACGGGUGAGUAAUAUAUCGGAACGUGCCCAGUAGCGGGGGAUAACUACUCGGAAAGAGUGGCUAAUACCGCAUACGCCCUACGGGGGAAAGGGGGGGAUCGCAAGACCUCUCACUAUUGGAGCGGCCGAUAUCGGAUUAGCUAGUUGGUGGGGUAAAGGCUCACCAAGGCAACGAUCCGUAGCUGGUUUGAGAGGACGACCAGCCACACUGGGACUGAGACACGGCCCAGACUCCUACGGGAGGCAGCAGUGGGGAAUUUUGGACAAUGGGGGAAACCCUGAUCCAGCCAUCCCGCGUGUAUGAUGAAGGCCUUCGGGUUGUAAAGUACUUUUGGCAGAGAAGAAAAGGCAUCCCCUAAUACGGGAUGCUGCUGACGGUAUCUGCAGAAUAAGCACCGGCUAACUACGUGCCAGCAGCCGCGGUAAUACGUAGGGUGCAAGCGUUAAUCGGAAUUACUGGGCGUAAAGCGUGUGUAGGCGGUUCGGAAAGAAAGAUGUGAAAUCCCAGGGCUCAACCUUGGAACUGCAUUUUUAACUGCCGAGCUAGAGUAUGUCAGAGGGGGGUAGAAUUCCACGUGUAGCAGUGAAAUGCGUAGAUAUGUGGAGGAAUACCGAUGGCGAAGGCAGCCCCCUGGGAUAAUACUGACGCUCAGACACGAAAGCGUGGGGAGCAAACAGGAUUAGAUACCCUGGUAGUCCACGCCCUAAACGAUGUCAACUAGCUGUUGGGGCCGUUAGGCCUUAGUAGCGCAGCUAACGCGUGAAGUUGACCGCCUGGGGAGUAUCGGUCGCAAGAUUAAAACUCAAAGGAAUUGACGGGGACCCGCACAAGCGGUGGAUGAUGUGGAUUAAUUCGAUGCAACGCGAAAAACCUUACCUACCCUUGACAUGUGUGGAAUGCCGAAGAGAUUUGGCAGUGCUCGCAAGAGAACCGGAACACAGGUGCUGCAUGGCUGUCGUCAGCUCCUGUCCUGAGAUGUUGGGUUAAGUCCCGCAACGAGCGCAACCCUUGUCACUAGCUGUACGCAAGAGCACUGUAAUGAGACUGCCGGUGACAAUCCUGGAGGAAGGUGGGGAUGACGUCAAGUCCUCAUGGCCCUUAUGGGUAGGGCUUCACACGUCAUACAAUGGUCGGCACAGAGGGUCGCCAACCCGCGAGGGGGAGCCAAUCUCAGAAACCCGAUCGUAGUCCGGAUCGCAGUUUGCAACUCGACUGCGAGAAGUCGGAAUCGCUAGUAAUCUCGGAUCAGAAUGUCGCGGUGAAUACGUUCCCGGGUCGAGCACUCACCGCCCGUCA
RNAcentral lists this ribosomal RNA (1396 nucleotides) under uncultured bacterium. RNAcentral's name for it is "16S ribosomal RNA". It matches the Rfam family "Bacterial small subunit ribosomal RNA". The record is from RNAcentral.